AAAACAAAUAAAUUUUCUGUCCAAUUCCUGGAAUAAAACAUGAGAAAUGACAGUUCACAGUAUCCGUUAAAACAAAUAAAUUUACAGGAAUACUUAAAAUUCAUACAAUGUGAGAUUUUUUCCAGAAACAAGUCAUACCCACUCAUUCCUAAGUUAACCAACAGGACACAGCCCUGGUGAUGGCUUUCUGAGGAUGACACGAUGGAGGCUUCUCCAAUAGCUCUAAAACUGCGGUGUGGAAAACAUUCGGCAGCCUCAAAGAGCGGUCUUGUUGACCCCAACUAUAUCAUUUUUCAUCAAAAUCAUUCUUGGUAAGUCUUAUGCCCAAGGAGUUAUUUUCCUUAGCAACAUCAUGGUAUGGAGGGAUUUGCUAUAGGAUAGGUCCUGAAUAUUCUUGCUUUUUUUCUGACUUAACUUUGAAAAGAAGUCCUAGACUAAAUUCAACCCUGCUCUUUCAAAUAGCUUCCUCAAAAAUAUAAAAAAAAUCUUUUAAGUCUGCUUUUCUCUGCACAUGGCCCUCUACACAACAUCCAUAGAUACAGUAGAGACAUAGAUGAAAGAUGGGUGUAACCGAGAACAGGUUUGUAUACCAAUUUCCAUAAUUAUCAAUGUAUCAGAUUUUAUAGAUUGAUAAGGAAGCGUGGGCCCCAAGGUAGGCAUUAUCUUUGGCCUGUUGAUUGAUCAGUGAGGUGAAGUGGAUAUAAGAAAAAUGCUGUGUGUGUGGAGAGCAUUAAGAAAGGUCAUAUAUUUCAAAAAAGAAUAUUGUUUACAAGGAGUGUUAAUAGGUUUCAGGGGAAAUGUUAAUUUUUUUUCCUGGAUGAAAUAGCUACUGCAAGUUUUUAAUGGUUAAUCAUUCAUUCUUGAAUUUUUAUAUUAAGCAUUUCAUAUUACUUUAUUGACUUAACUUUUAUGCUCUUCUUCAUUUUGACAGUAAAGAAUGACCAGGCAACACUCUUUGAAAAUUGGAGGCCAUUUGCAGCUGCUCUCUGUUGAGGAAAGUGAAUAAUAGGGUGCCCUCAAGGAAUUGCAAAGGUAUCACUCAACAGAAACUUUCGUGUCUGAAGAAAACUAGAUCAUUUUAUCAUGGUAGGCAUGCUGAUAUGUUUGCUUUAAUAAAAUGCCAUAUUUCUGCCUUUAAUCUCUUGUCAACCCGCUAUUAAAAAGCCCCAAAGUGCAUGUGUGCAGCGCAUGUAAACACUUGUGGUUUUGAGGUUACCACAGAACAUACUAAUAAAGCAUGUAAUUUGUGUUUUGUGCACAGACUGUAAUAAUUUAUUGAGUGGUACAGAGAAGCUAGAAAAGGAUUUUCUCUAACUUUUGCCAGCAAGUCAAUUUAUUUUUAGUGCUCUAUGCAGAAGUACAUGUAUACACAUGUUCUUAUGAUUACAUCAUGUUUAAAAAGCAUUAGGGAGCCUGCAUAACAAAAUGGGACAAAACAUAAAUUCAUUUUGCACAUACGGAAGACAUUCUAUCAAGCAUGCUAAUGUUCCUCCUAUAAGCUGAUCAGCUGGGAGGUGUGGCAUAUAUUCUUCCACAAAGGGUGUGUGUUUGUGUGUGUGUGUGUGUGCAUGUUUGUGUGCGUGUUGAGCACUGACAAUACAUUAGCAGAGUAUAGAUCAAGUAAGUUCAAGUAAAUUAAGACGAAUAAUAAUAGCAAGAACUUUUAUAAACUUUACCAACUUUAUCCCCAGUCCCCCUGGGGGAGGAGGGCAGAGAACAAUGUUGUUCCUUCUUUUAUAUGGAAUAACAAAACGUAUAAUGGUUGGGUCACUUCUAGAGGGUCCUAGAAGAGCUCAUUGCCAGACUACAGCUUCCACCAUGAUUGUUUGGGUAGCCAAUUUAUCUGUUUAUGUAAGAUCCUUACAGGUAAGAACCAUCAGGUUGUAUACCACUUAGCUUUUUGCUUUCACUUCUUCCCUUGUGAGGUUCCUUGCACACAACAAAUCAUCCACACAGAUGCAUAAUUUGAAAGGAAAGGUCUUGAGCUUAUGGAAGAAAUACAUACCAGUUUCUGGAAAAUUCUGUGAAAUUCUGUAGUUGGAAAAUAAUUCUGUGAAAUUCUAUGCUUUAUUUACUCAAACAAAAAACACAUUCAGUUUAGAAAUAACGUCUGUGCCCAGAAGAAAUAGGUGUUAGAUACUCAAAACGUGUUUAUUCCAAAAAGAUGCAAGAUUUCUCUCCUGGAAAGCAAUUCACCACUCUCUAUGCUUCUUUUUCUUUCUGAGAAGUCUUAUACACAUAACAGUUUUCAAUGCACAGAUGGAUCUUCUGUGGUUCACAACCUUUUACAUUUGAGGGCUAAUUAAAAUGAAUCCUUUGUGCCACCUCUAAGAUACAACUCACUCCUUCAUGUUGUUCAUUGACUAAGAUCUAAUAAACCAGUUCCAAUUCAUAACUAGGGAUUAUUGAACUUCUUGUGGCCAUUGGCUAUCAUAGAGGCAUUGUGAAAAUCUCUAAGGAGACAAGUGCACAGCAGCCUGGCCCGGAGGGUCCUCUUAUUUGAAGUAGAACUCAAGUUGCACCCAAUUAUGUAAGGCUGAUCCAACCCAGAAAAGAGUUUUCUGCAAGAGAUUAAGCCAAUUCUCCAGAACUCUAAGGAGGAAAUCAAGAUCCUUGUGGCUGUUUGAUCACUUCUGUGAUUUGAAUGUCUCCACGGUUUA
Molecule: long non-coding RNA, 2660 nt
Filed under: Homo sapiens (human)
Lineage: Eukaryota; Metazoa; Chordata; Mammalia; Primates; Hominidae
Description: non-protein coding lnc-BMP6-106:125
Source: RNAcentral